RNAcentral lists this ribosomal RNA (255 nucleotides) under uncultured bacterium. RNAcentral describes it as "partial 16S ribosomal RNA". It matches the Rfam family "Bacterial small subunit ribosomal RNA", at positions 796 to 1041 of the family's 1533-position model. The record is from RNAcentral.
CUAGCCAUAAACGAUGUCUACUAGGUCGGAGUCACUCUGACGUGUUUCCGGCCAAAACAAAAGCAUUAAGUAGACCGCCUGGGGAGUACGGUCGCAAGGCUAAAACUCAAAGGAAUUGACGGGGGCUCACACAAGCGGUGGAGCAUGUUGCUCAAUUCGAUGCAACGCGAAGAACCUUAUCCUAGGCUUGACAUGCUUGGAUGCCUACCAUGAAAGUGGAUCGGCUGCCCUUCGGGGUGAAACUUGCACAGGUGC